Molecule: long non-coding RNA, 1396 nt
Filed under: Vitis vinifera (wine grape)
Lineage: Eukaryota; Viridiplantae; Streptophyta; Magnoliopsida; Vitales; Vitaceae
Description: long non-coding RNA (VVIN_LNC002064)
Source: RNAcentral
GUUCAUCCAAGAAAGGAAGGGGAUAAGUCCUCAACAUAAAUCUAUGCCAGACAUGUCCUUCCCCAAUACAGGGGAAUGGAGAUCAAGUUACAGGUCCAUUUUACCAGCUAGGUACCAUGAAUGCAUUGCAAGGCUGCCAAAGGACAUGAUAUUGGCAAGGGAUGAUAGUCCAUGAAUCAUACCGAAUUUUUUGUUCAUGGCUGCAAGCUUUGGAUUCACCUUGGCAACCUCCUUGUUCUUUGACCGCCCAAUUUCCUCACCAAUGUUUUGCUCUCUCUCCACCUUGUGCCUCUGCUUCAUCAUCUGUCCAAAAAGGGGCCCCAAAAAAUUAUACAUCAGCAACAAAAUCAUUUUAGCACCAGCACAUAGCACUCCCAUUCUAGGUAUCAACAAAAAAAAAAAAAAGAGCACUGCAUUUCUUUGGGAAUCAUCUUCUACCCAAAAAUUACUGCCUGCAAUUAAUAUUAGAUAUUUGAUGAAUAUACUUAUCAUAUGUCAAGGUUAGUCACCGAGCAAACAUGUGAAAGAAUAGAGAAGCAAAUUCUAGUACCCAGUGCUUACGGUCCUUUUCGUCCCAAAAGAAGGAAAUUUUCAAGCCAACUAUACCAAAUACUUGUCAGGGCCCAAAAUUGGCACUUAUGCUGUGCGAAUUUCUAUGUUUUUUCCUACAUUUUUCUCAGCAACCAAACAUAGGCAAAAUAAAAACAAAAAAAAUGGAGGCAACAAUGAACACUUUAUGGGAAAAUGGUGGAAAACAACAAAAUUCAGAAACAUAUAAGUCAAACUAGUCACCUAAAUGCCCAAUAUAGCUAGAAAAUCGAUACCUCAAUUGUCAUUGGUGUAAAGACGAGCAAAUUUGUGAGAUUGAAAGCAAAGGCGGAGAGAAGAAAUCCUAGCUGGUACUUCUCGGCGGUAGAAGAAGACUUCCAUGGAUGUAGAUAACCAAACGACGCCGUUGAAACCGCACAACACACACCAACCAUCGAGAAAUAAGCAGGAAACAUCUUGCUUUGCAAAUUACCGAACGUAUGCCUCGGAAGAUUCCUGAGUCAUCAUUAUACUUCUCAAUCAUAACAAUUAAAAAAUUUAGAGGAACUAUCCAGUACCUCCCUUUGGUCGCCGAUAAAAUUUGGGAAAAAAUGACCUAGAUUUUCUCGGCAAACAAACCGAGCACAACAGGCAAAAUUGGGUCGAAAAGAAUUAUUACUUGAACAUUAUGAUGCCGCCGAUGAAGGUGACCCAGAGAGCGGCGCCCCAAGCGGUGGCGAAGCAGAGCAGGUGAGCGAGUUUGAGGGCAGCGGUUAGCUUUGACGAAUGGCUACCGUCUGAUUUGGAUCCGAAUGUCUCCGGCGAGAAAAUAACUCCGACGGCCAAGAAAGUGACGGCGCCGAGAAAC